UACAGAGGUCUCAAGCGUUGUUCGGAUUCAUUGGGCGUAAAGGGUGCGUAGGCGGCGCGGUAAGUCGGGUGUGAAAUCUCGGAGCUUAACUCCGAAACUGCAUUCGAUACUGCCGUGCUUGAGGACUGGAGAGGAGACUGGAAUUUACGGUGUAGCGGUGAAAUGCGUAGAUAUUGGGAGGAACACCGGUGGCGAAGGCGGCCCCCUGGACCGGUACUGACGCUGAGGCGCGAAAGCGUGGGUAGCAAACGGG
Molecule: ribosomal RNA, 253 nt
Filed under: uncultured bacterium
Lineage: Bacteria
Description: partial 16S ribosomal RNA
Rfam family: Bacterial small subunit ribosomal RNA
Source: RNAcentral